RNAcentral lists this long non-coding RNA (1919 nucleotides) under Scophthalmus maximus (turbot). RNAcentral's name for it is "lncRNA (ENSSMAG00000028946.1)". Lineage: Eukaryota; Metazoa; Chordata; Actinopteri; Pleuronectiformes; Scophthalmidae. The record is from RNAcentral.
AUGCUUCUCAGCUCCAGCUCAACGCACGCAGCGUACACGGGAGUGGUGGAUGUCCUCAUUCUGAUCUCCGGCAGACAAAGAAACAAGAUUUUCCCUCCAAAUCCUGCAGAAUUUUGUGAAAAUGACAGAAGUGCUUGUGCCCGGCUGAAAUGUGACACCCUGCCUGCUCAAUGCCAGUUGCAAGUGCCCGUCCGGAGGUCGUGAUUUCAUGUAAGAUUUCUUUAAUGGUUUCCAUUAAUAUCACUCAUGUCCCUGUCCCUGUGGACGCGGCCCCGUCUCAUUCUCUCAGAGCAUUAUUUGUGCGCUCUGUGGCAAUGGGCUGUGACAGUCAGCUUUAGGAGAUUGCAAACCAACAUCGAAACCCGACCUUGCAGGGAUGACACUGCCGUUAAUCUAGGUGUUCUGGCUCCAUAAUCUAUUUCCCCCAGGAAAGCAUGUGGCGUAGCCUACUCGCCCAUAUUUCUUGCCUCUGAAAUAGAGACAACAGGGAGACGAGGAAGUGAGCAGACACGAGAGUUGUGGCUGAAAUGUGCCACGAAUGUCAGCGACGCAGCCGCCGAACACGCCAUUUGUUCACUGACAGCUUUUCGGGACUUACUGUACUCUCAGCAUCAGCGUACAUCUCUGUGGAUCAGUCAGUGAAACAGAGCUCCCUUUACCUAAGUUAUAGACUUCUGUUGAAAGUUAAGACCAAGAUUUAGAGGGCUGCAUUUUCCAUCCGAUCACAUUUUGCCUUACAUCACAUCCAUCCAUUAGCUGUACCACUUGUUCUGUUUCAGGGGGCGCGGAGCCAAUCCCACAGCCGGGCUACCUGCCAGCCCUGGACGGGCAGCCAGUCCGUCACAGCGCUGACACAUAGAGACAAACAACCAUUCGCGCUCACAUUCACACACCUCGGGGGCCAUUCAGAGCAGCCGAUUAACCCAACCUGCAUGUCCUCGGUCUGUGGGAGGAAGGCGGAGUCCCCGACAGGACAUUAAAACUCCACACGGAAAGGCCCCCGGCCGGCUGGCAGGUUCACGCCCAGAACCUUCUCGCUGUGAGGCAGCGGCGCUUACAUCAUCACAAUUCCGGUUAAUUAAUGCUUGACCUCUUGACCUUUCACCUUCACUGUUCCACUGGUGAACUUCCACCAUGUCAGUUUUCAUCAAUCUACAGUGCAUUAGUUCCUUUCCUAGCUCGCCGCUCUACCACGAUUCCGCAAUGUCAAAGCACCUUUCGUUCACAACUACGUCGCAAGGAUUGGAAAUUUUGACUUUGGCGUCUCUGAGCUGAAAUGGCAAAAAAAAUAAUACAAACACGCUUUCAUGAAGCAUCAAUUUCCACUGUCUUUUUCCACUAAUCAAAAUUUGUCAUCAGAUUAACUGAUGAUGUGGUAGAAGUUAGGGGUCGACCGAUAGGGCUUUUUCCGGGCUGAUACCAAACCAAUUAUUACUAAUCUUAGAGACCGAUAACCGAUAUUUGAAACCGAUAUUUGACUGCAGUAAAAAAAAAAAGUGUCACAAGGCAACAAUCCUCGAGCAGCCACAUGGUCAUAAAUACAGCAGAAGAGCAACACUGUACAAAAAAGACCCCUCACACUUUGUUUAAAUAAGAAAGUGAGCCGAUAUAAUUGCGGCCUAAUUGGAUUUCAUCCGGCGCACAGCACGAGCAGUUUUCCACACAAAGGCAACCGGACUCAGAACCGGUGACAGGAGUUGGUGAGCUUGCUGAGAAGUUGGAGGUGUGCGACCCGUUUACCGCGGCUCUUCAACUACUGGUUGGUCACAAUGGCUUCAAAGGACCUGGGGUCCUGUUGUCCUGAUGCCAUCUAUGAUAAACUAUCACAGUCAGCACUAACCUCAGUGGCAAACCAUGUUUCCUGGGACCGUCUGACAAUAACUGUCUGCUUCUCACCAAACAAAUGACCAGAUUGUCCC